This 448-nucleotide ribosomal RNA is filed under the name uncultured bacterium. RNAcentral's name for it is "SSU rRNA". It matches the Rfam family "Bacterial small subunit ribosomal RNA", at positions 26 to 518 of the family's 1533-position model. The record is from RNAcentral.
AGAGCGAACGCUGGCGGCAGGCCUAAUACAUGCAAGUCGAACGGAUCCUUCGGGAUUAGUGGCGGACGGGUGAGUAACACGUGGGAACGUGCCCUUUGGUUCGGAACAACUCAGGGAAACUUGAGCUAAUACCGAAUGUGCCCUUCGGGGGAAAGAUUUAUCGCCAUUGGAGCGGCCCGCGUCUGAUUAGCUAGUUGGUGGGGUAAAGGCCCACCAAGGCGACGAUCAGUAGCUGGUCUGAGAGGAUGAUCAGCCACACUGGGACUGAGACACGGCCCAGACUCCUACGGGAGGCAGCAGUAGGGAAUCUUGCGCAAUGGGCGAAAGCCUGACGCAGCCAUGCCGCGUGAAUGAUGAAGGUCUUAGGAUUGUAAAAUUCUUUCAGCGGGGACGAUAAUGACGGUACCCGCGAGAAGAAGCCCCGGCUAACUUCGCGCCAGCACGCCGC